This 207-nucleotide long non-coding RNA is filed under the name Elaeis guineensis (African oil palm). RNAcentral describes it as "long non-coding RNA (EGUI_LNC075259)". Lineage: Eukaryota; Viridiplantae; Streptophyta; Magnoliopsida; Arecales; Arecaceae. The record is from RNAcentral.
CCUGUGAUUGAAGUCGUGGGCGGAGUCCGGCUCCCGUAGGAGUCCGGACGAAGUCUGCCUGCAGUCAGAGUCGGGGAUGAGGUCCGGCUCCCAUAGGAGUCCGGGCGAAGUCUUCCUACAGCCGGAGUCGGGGACGAGGUCCGGCUCCCGUAGGAGUCCGGGCGAAGUCUACCUGCAAGUGAAGUUGGGGCCGAAGUCCAGCUGCCG